AAGAAAUCCACCGGUGCAAUUCAGGGUUCGCUACAAGCAGCAAACAAGCCAUUAUUACUUGAAGGUUCUAAUUCGACACCAGCAACUGCUCCUCAGGCUGCAGAAUCUGGAACUUCUCCAGCGGCGGAGGAAUCAGGCGCCCCUACCUCAGAAUCAGGCGCUCCCCCUACCUCAGAAUCCGAUGCUCCCCCUUCAUCGGAAUCAGGCGCUACCCCUGCAUCGGAAUCAGGCGUUUCCCCUGAACCAGAAUCAGGCGUUCCUCCUGAACCAGAAUCAGGAGCUCCUACUACACCAGAAUCAGGUGCUCCUACUACAUCAGAAACAGGUGU
Molecule: long non-coding RNA, 329 nt
Filed under: Daucus carota (carrot)
Lineage: Eukaryota; Viridiplantae; Streptophyta; Magnoliopsida; Apiales; Apiaceae
Description: long non-coding RNA (DCAR_LNC006066)
Source: RNAcentral